AUCUUUUCAGUUGACACUAUUGGUUAAAAGUUUUAUCUCAAACUCUCGCUCUGUUGAAUAAACUAUGAUUUUAUAUUAACGUAGCUGUCACUUAUAGUUAAGUCAAAAACCACUUUUUGAAGACAAUAGAAUCCGUAGAAACUCUUUUUAAGAAAACACCAAUCGUUUAAACACCCUUAUCUCAAACUCUCGCUCUGUUGACUUAGGUUAUAUAAUUAAAUU
This 222-nucleotide long non-coding RNA is filed under the name Lathyrus oleraceus (garden pea). Its description in RNAcentral is "Pisum sativum (pea) long non-coding RNA (PSAT_LNC014174)". Lineage: Eukaryota; Viridiplantae; Streptophyta; Magnoliopsida; Fabales; Fabaceae. The record is from RNAcentral.